GAAAUGCGAUAAGUAAUGUGAAUUGCAGAAUUCAGUGAAUCAUCGAAUCUUUGAACGCACAUUGCGCCCGCCAGUAUUCUGGCGGGCAUGCCUGUUCGAGCGUCAUUACGACCCUCAGGCCCCCGGGCCUGGCGUUGGGGAUCGGCGGAAGCCCCCUGCGGGCACAACGCCGUCCCCCAAAUACAGUGGCGGUCCCGCCGCAGCUUCCAUUGCGUAGUAGCUAACACCUCGCAACUGGAGAGCGGCGCGGCCACGCCGUAAAACACCCAACUUCUGAAUGUUGACCUCGAAUCAGGUAGGAAUACCCGCUGAACUUAAGC
RNAcentral lists this unclassified non-coding RNA (320 nucleotides) under plant metagenome. Its description in RNAcentral is "partial contains 5.8S ribosomal RNA, internal transcribed spacer 2, and large subunit ribosomal RNA". The stretch from base 1 to 105 matches the Rfam family "5.8S ribosomal RNA", at positions 50 to 154 of the family's 154-position model. The record is from RNAcentral.